This is a small nucleolar RNA of Ochotona princeps (American pika), 105 nucleotides long. NCBI's taxonomy places the organism in Eukaryota, Metazoa, Chordata, Mammalia, Lagomorpha, Ochotonidae. The record is from Ensembl.
AUCCUUUUUGUGGUACAUAAGCAUGAUGGUGGGGUUUACACCAGUUUGUGUGAGAUGUGCUUCCAUCAAAUUUUGUUACCAUGUUGGCACAUAACCCAUCUGUAG